UGAGGAGCGAAAGCAUGGGGAGCGAACAGGAUUAGAUACCCUGGUAGUCCAUGCCGUAAACGUUGGGCACUAGGUGUGGGGACCAUUCCACGGUUUCCGCGCCGCAGCUAACGCAUUAAGUGCCCCGCCUGGGGAGUACGGCCGCAAGGCUAAAACUCAAAGGAAUUGACGGGGGCCCGCACAAGCGGCGGAGCAUGCGGAUUAAUUCGAUGCAACGCGAAGAACCUUACCAAGGCUUGACAUGUUCUCGAUCGCCGUAGAGAUACGGUUUCCCCUUUGGGGCGGGUUCACAGGUGGUGCAUGGUUGUCGUCAGCUCGUGUCGUGAGAUGUUGGGUUAAGUCCCGCAACGAGCGCAACCCUCGUUCCAUGUUGCCAGCACGUAAUGGUGGGGACUCAUGGGAGACUGCCGGGGUCAACUCGGAGGAAGGUGAGGACGACGUCAAAUCAUCAUGCCCCUUAUGUCUUGGGCUUCACGCAUGCUACAAUGGCCGGUACAAUGGGUUGCGAUACUGUGAGG
RNAcentral lists this ribosomal RNA (518 nucleotides) under Micrococcus sp. RNAcentral's name for it is "bacterial SSU rRNA". It matches the Rfam family "Bacterial small subunit ribosomal RNA", at positions 747 to 1262 of the family's 1533-position model. The record is from RNAcentral. Lineage: Bacteria; Bacillati; Actinomycetota; Actinomycetes; Micrococcales; Micrococcaceae.